RNAcentral lists this ribosomal RNA (407 nucleotides) under uncultured bacterium. Its description in RNAcentral is "bacterial SSU rRNA". It matches the Rfam family "Bacterial small subunit ribosomal RNA", at positions 976 to 1381 of the family's 1533-position model. The record is from RNAcentral.
UAGCCUUGACAUUGAUAGAACACUUUAGAGAUAGAGUGGUGCCCUUUUGGGAGCUUGAAAACAGGUGCUGCACGGCUGUCGUCAGCUCGUGUCGUGAGAUGUUGGGUUAAGUCCCGCAACGAGCGCAACCCUCGCCAAUAGUUAAUAACAGUUCGGCUGAUGACCCUAUUGGGACUGUCUUCGUAAGGAGGAGGAAGGUGAGGACGACGUCAAGUCAUCAUGGCCCUUAUGGCUAGGGCUACACACGUGCUACAAUGGGGUGUACAGAGUGUUGCGAUACCGUGAGGUGGAGCCAAUCACUUAAAGCAUCUCUCAGUUCGGAUUGAAGUCUGCAACUCGACUUCAUGAAGCUGGAAUCACUAGUAAUCGUAGAUCAGCAAUGCUACGGUGAAUACGUUCCCGGGUCU